GCUUGUCUAGCUCAGUUGGCAGAGCACAAGGCUCUAAACCUUAAGGUCGUGGGUUCGAGCCCCACUAUGAACA
RNAcentral lists this transfer RNA (73 nucleotides) under Zea mays. It matches the Rfam family "tRNA". Rfam says of the family: Transfer RNA (tRNA) molecules are approximately 80 nucleotides in length. Their secondary structure includes four short double-helical elements and three loops (D, anti-codon, and T loops). The record is from Rfam by way of RNAcentral. Lineage: Eukaryota; Viridiplantae; Streptophyta; Magnoliopsida; Poales; Poaceae.